GAAAUGCGAUAAGUAGUGUGAAUUGCAGAAUUCAGUGAAUCAUCGAAUCUUUGAACGCACAUUGCGCCCCUCGGUAUUCCGUGGGGCAUGCCUGUUUGAGUAUCAUGAAAUCUUCAAAGUAAAUCUUUUGUUAACUCAAUUGGUUUCUACUUUGGUAUUGGAGGUCUUUGCAGCUUCACACCUGCUCCUCUUUGUUUAUUAGCUGGAUCUCAGUGUUAUGCUUGGUUCCACUCGGCGUGAUAAGUUAUCUAUCGCUGAGGACACUGUAAAAGGUGGCCAAGGUAAAUGCAGAUGAACCGCUUCUAAUAGUCCAUUGACUUGGACAAUACUUUUAUGAUCUGAUCUCAAAUCAGGUAGGACUACCCGCUGAACUUAAGC
RNAcentral lists this unclassified non-coding RNA (378 nucleotides) under plant metagenome. RNAcentral describes it as "partial contains 5.8S ribosomal RNA, internal transcribed spacer 2, and large subunit ribosomal RNA". The stretch from base 1 to 105 matches the Rfam family "5.8S ribosomal RNA", at positions 50 to 154 of the family's 154-position model. The record is from RNAcentral.